Molecule: non-coding RNA, 46 nt
Filed under: Schistosoma mansoni
Lineage: Eukaryota; Metazoa; Platyhelminthes; Trematoda; Strigeidida; Schistosomatidae
Source: RNAcentral
GCACUACUGAGGAGUCCCAUACUAGGACGAAACGGUCGUUCAGUGC